AACGAACGCUGGCGGCAUGCCUAACACAUGCAAGUCGAACGAGACCUUCGGGUCUAGUGGCGCACGGGUGCGUAACGCGUGGGAACCUGCCCUUAGGUUCGGAAUAACUCCCCGAAAGGGGUGCUAAUACCGGAUAAUGUCUUCGGACCAAAGAUUUAUCGCCUUUGGAUGGGCCCGCGUUGGAUUAGCUAGUUGGUAGGGUAAAAGCCUACCAAGGCGACGAUCCAUAGCUGGUCUGAGAGGAUGAUCAGCCACACUGGGACUGAGACACGGCCCAGACUCCGACAGGAGGCAGCAGUUGGGAAUAUUGGACAAUGGGCGAAAGCCUGAUCCAGCCAUGCCGCGUGAGUGAUGAAGGCCGUAGGGUUGUAAAGCUCUUUUACCCGGGAUGAUAAUGACAGUACCGGGAGAAUAAGCUCCGGCUAACUCCGUG
This 433-nucleotide ribosomal RNA is filed under the name uncultured bacterium. RNAcentral describes it as "partial 16S ribosomal RNA". It matches the Rfam family "Bacterial small subunit ribosomal RNA", at positions 29 to 507 of the family's 1533-position model. The record is from RNAcentral.